CCUACGGGUGGCAGCAGUGAGGAAUAUUGGUCAAUGGCCGGAAGGCUGAACCAGCCAAGCCGCGUGAAGGACGAAGGUGCCAAGCAUUGUAAACUUCUUUUGUCAAGGGACAAAAUCAGGCUCGAGAGCCUGACCGAGGGUACUUGAAGAAAAAGCAACGGCUAACUCCGUGCCAGCAGCCGCGGUAAUACGGAGGAUGCGAGCGUUAGCCGUAUGUCUGGGGUGUAAAGGGUGCGUAGGCGGGCUGUAAAGUCAGCGGUACAAGCCCGGGGCUAAACCCCGGCGAGCCGUUGAAACUGGCUGUCUUGAGAUGUCGAGAGGUAUGCGGAAUGCGCAGUGUAGCGGUGAAAUGCCUAGAUAUUGCGCAGAACUCCGAUUGCGAAGGCAGCAUACCGGCGGCGAUCUGACGCUGAGGCACGAAAGCGUGGGUAUCGAACAGGAUUAGAUACCCCUGUAGUC
This 459-nucleotide ribosomal RNA is filed under the name uncultured bacterium. Its description in RNAcentral is "partial 16S ribosomal RNA". It matches the Rfam family "Bacterial small subunit ribosomal RNA", at positions 338 to 795 of the family's 1533-position model. The record is from RNAcentral.